RNAcentral lists this transfer RNA (63 nucleotides) under Colletes gigas. RNAcentral's name for it is "tRNA-Trp". Lineage: Eukaryota; Metazoa; Arthropoda; Insecta; Hymenoptera; Colletidae. The record is from RNAcentral.
UUAAGUUAAUAGAUAAACUAUUAAAUUUCAAAUUUAAAAAUAUAGAUCAAAUCAUAAAUUUUA